UUGAAGAGAGGUUAUCCUUCGU
Molecule: microRNA, 22 nt
Filed under: Canis lupus familiaris (dog)
Lineage: Eukaryota; Metazoa; Chordata; Mammalia; Carnivora; Canidae
Description: cfa-miR-300
Gene: cfa-miR-300
Source: miRBase by way of RNAcentral